AUUUAUUAUAUAAUUAGAUAGUAAGUGAUAAAAUUCAAUUGAUUUUGAGAGAUCUUGAAUAUUUAUAGUUUGCUUAUGCAGAUAGUAGAAUAUUUGACUAAGAAUUUGAUAUGGUGAUAAAGAGAUAGUAGUAAUACAUUCUUCGAUGUAAUAAUAUUUGAGGACUAGUUCAAAUUAAGGAUGAGAUAUUUUGAAGCUCUUGAGGACUUGG
This 211-nucleotide long non-coding RNA is filed under the name Panax ginseng (ginseng). RNAcentral's name for it is "long non-coding RNA (PGIN_LNC006072)". Lineage: Eukaryota; Viridiplantae; Streptophyta; Magnoliopsida; Apiales; Araliaceae. The record is from RNAcentral.